AGAAAUAGUCUCACAUAAAUGGUAUUGUUUCUUUUUGAGGAAACACACCUAAAAGAUAUUAUUAAUAAUGAUAAUUAAUUGUAUUAUGGGUCCACCAUGUGAUGGGGUAUUGUCCAUAAAUAAAAAUGAACUAAUUUGGUGGACGUUCCAAAAUAACAAAAUAGACUAUUUUUUGUGAACAAAUGGAGUAAUUCAUAAGUCUCAAAACUCACAAUCCACAUCAACAAACCUAAAAAAAUAACAUUAUAAAAAUAAAAAAUAAAAUCACAACACUAAUUCAAAGCUAUCAAAAAAAUCAGUCCACCACAAAUUUAACGGGUAUAGUUAAAUUUAUAAAUUAUACUCCCUCCGUCCCAUUAAAAGUAGUAUGUAUUUUAUUUUGGGUCGUCUCAC
RNAcentral lists this long non-coding RNA (393 nucleotides) under Salvia miltiorrhiza (redroot sage). RNAcentral's name for it is "long non-coding RNA (SMIL_LNC003308)". The record is from RNAcentral. Lineage: Eukaryota; Viridiplantae; Streptophyta; Magnoliopsida; Lamiales; Lamiaceae.